This is a long non-coding RNA of Wasmannia auropunctata (little fire ant), 550 nucleotides long. RefSeq lists it as uncharacterized. The transcript has 3 exons. Lineage: Eukaryota; Metazoa; Arthropoda; Insecta; Hymenoptera; Formicidae. The record is from RefSeq and is a predicted model, not a curated record.
AGCAGCAAUUAAUACUUUUGAAAAAAUCAGUUAUAAAAAAACAAACAAUUCGUCAAGAAAUGAAUUAAGUAUAGAUGAUGAAAAUGAUGCUUUGUUGGACGCUCAAUUAGUAUCUUCUACGACUGAAUAAUAAUAAAAAACACGUUCAAGUAAUAAUGAUGAAGAAAAUGCCAAAAUUCAAAAAGGUCUAUCGCCGGAAGGUAAUCCCCUAUGUUAUGCGGCUGAAUUCCACUUUGCAGGAUACAAAUACAGCAAGAACAUUAACUGCAGACAGUGAUGGACAACAGUGAAGGGCAACACGAUUAAUUAAAACACUCGACAAUAAUAAACUUAUAUAAAAUUAUAGAAUUAUAUAACUAUCUGACGAAUGGCACGAACACAGUAUAAAGAGAAAUCUCAUACUACUGCCAUGACUGACAAUUAAUUUGCUUCAUUAGUAUGAUAAUUUGCUUCAGUAGUAUGAGAUUUCUCUUUGUACUGCGUUCGUGAAUGCCUGAAAUACCCUUAGAACAUAUAUUAUAUAUAUUAGAAAUACCUAACGUGUGCAGUU